GACGGAAGCAGGCGCUGCUGCUUAGUCUUUGCUGCCGCUGGAAGUGUAAGAUAGGCUGCGGGCGGAGAUCCGGGUAUUGGCUGAGAAUGCUGCGAGCGCUGAUGCUGCUGGUGGCGGGAGCCUUAUUGGGGUCGCUGUGCUGCCGAGCUGUGGAGGUGAAGAGGCCCCGAGGGGUCUCCCUGUCCAAUCGCAGUUUCUAUGAUGAGGCCAAGCCUUUCACCUGUCUGGAUGGGUCCCAGACGAUCCCCUAUGACCGUGUAAACGAUGACUACUGUGAUUGUGCCGAUGGAACAGAUGAACCUGGCACAGCUGCGUGCUCAAAUGGAAGAUUCCACUGCACCAACGCCGGAUACAAGCCUCAGUACAUCCCAGCAUCACGGGUCAACGAUGGCAUUUGUGAUUGCUGCGACACCACUGACGAGUAUAACAGCGGCGCGCAGUGUCAGAAUACUUGCAGGGAGAUGGGUAGGAAGGAGCGGGAGGAGCUGGAGAAGAAGGCCGCCAUGGCUCGGGAAGGGAUGCUGCUGAAGCACCAGUUUAUUGAAGAAGCCAAAAAAGGCAGAGAAGAAAAGCAGGCGAAGCUGCAGGAGCUGGUGGAGAAGCGGCAGAACGUGCAGUCCCAGGUGGACCUGCUGCGGGCAGAGAAGGAGGAGGCAGAGAAGCCGGAGCGAGAAGCAAAGGACGCGCACAAGAAAGAGUGGGAAGAACGGAGGGAAGCGGAGAAAGUGGCUUCUGAGAGGAAACGAUCCCUGGAAGCUUUUGGGGAGCUGGACCUGGAUUCUGAUGGAAUGCUGUCCUCCACAGAGCUGUUCUCUCACCCUGAGCUGGAUACGGACGGAGAUGGGUUGUUGUCGGACCAAGAAGCCCAGACUCUGCUUGGUGGAUCAAGUGCUGUAGACAGUGCCUACUUCCAGGAGUCUGUCUGGCCCCAGAUCAGCGCUAAAUACAAAUCUGAGAGCGAGGCCCCAUCACUGCCUCAGGUAGAAGAGGAGACGGACUCCCACCCAGAGAGCCCCCCUGAGGACGAUGAGGGUGACGAUGGAGAGGAGGGAGACGAGGACGAUGAGGAGGAGUCUGAUGAAGAUCAUAGGGCUCCACCUGCCAAGCCGCAGACGGAGGAGCCAGAAAUGCCGCCGUACGAUGAAGCCACCCAAAUGCUGAUAGAUACCGCUCAAGCAGCACGAAACCAGUACGAAGAAGCCGAAAAGUCCUUACGGGAAAUCGAGGAUACAGUCAGGAGUCUGGAGAAAGAGAUAUCGCUGGAUUUUGGGACACAUGGAGAAUUCUCCUAUCUCUAUGGGCAGUGUUAUGAGCUUUCCACCAGCGAGUACAUUUAUCGCUUGUGUCCAUUCAAUCGUGUGACUCAGAAACCGAAAGUUGGAGGAUCAGAAACUAACCUGGGGUUAUGGGCGUCCUGGGCCGGACCAGAACAUGACAAAUUUAGUGUAAUGAAGUAUGACCAGGGAACUACCUGUUGGCAGGGACCAAACCGCUCCACACAGGUGAAGCUGUUCUGUGGGAAAGAGACGGUCGUCACCUCUACAUCAGAGCCCAGUCGCUGCGAGUACCUUAUGGAGUUCUUUACCCCAGCCGCCUGUCAGCAGCCCAGUGACAUCCCGCAGGAGGAGCAUGACGAGCUGUGACCUCAGGUGCUGUACUACUUCUUCAGUUCCGUGCUAGUAAUCGCAGAUAAAGCUGUGCUUACAGAACCCCAAGGGAACAAGAAAAGCUGUGACCAUUGGAUGAAUCCCAGUCAGCCAGUGGCCUCCUUCCUCCAAACCUCAUUCCACCCCCGUCAUCUCGGUUCCUGAUUCCUGCAGUAAAGGGCAGCGGUGACCAGGAGACACAUUCCAGCAUCUGCACCAAGCUCUACGCCUCCGCCGUCGUGUCCUAUGUACAGAGGCAUUUCAGUGAAUACACUGUCCCCAGUGGCUGCUACGUUCUUGUUAGUGGAGUAAAUUAAGAUUGUCCUGUGUUCAGUGCAAUUAAAGACCACUAAACCAA
Molecule: RNA transcript, 2004 nt
Organism: Pseudophryne corroboree (corroboree frog)
Lineage: Eukaryota; Metazoa; Chordata; Amphibia; Anura; Myobatrachidae
Gene: PRKCSH
Gene name: PRKCSH beta subunit of glucosidase II
Exons: 17
Source: RefSeq, a predicted model, not a curated record